Molecule: long non-coding RNA, 180 nt
Organism: Saccostrea echinata
Lineage: Eukaryota; Metazoa; Mollusca; Bivalvia; Ostreida; Ostreidae
Exons: 3
Source: RefSeq, a predicted model, not a curated record
CGUCCCAGGCGGAAUGGAUAUUUAGCCGAAAGGAAAGGUGGCCUAUGGAACUAAUUGGAUCUUGUCAACAUUCAAACUGUGAAGUAAACGAAAAGUGUAAAAGAGGAUCGUUCACUUCUCAUAAAUGUGAAUUGGCUCAGUGCCAUCCUCUAAAUUUAAGUCUUGCGCGCAACACAAAAC